Molecule: unclassified non-coding RNA, 391 nt
Filed under: soil metagenome
Description: partial contains 5.8S ribosomal RNA, internal transcribed spacer 2, and large subunit ribosomal RNA
Rfam family: 5.8S ribosomal RNA (bases 1-122)
Source: RNAcentral
GAUGAAGAACGUAGCGAAAUGUGAUACUUGGUGUGAAUUGCAGAAUCCCGUGAACCAUCGAGUCUUUGAACGCAAGUUGCGCCCGAAGCCAUUAGGCCGAGGGCACGCCUGCCUGGGCGUCACACGUCGUUGCCCCCCCAUCUACUCCUUCGGGAUUGCGGGGGGCGGAUGAUGGCCUCCCGUGCGCCUCGUCGCGCGGUUGGCAUAAAUGCCAAGUCCUCGGCGACGCACGCCACGACAAUCGGUGGUUGCGAAACCUCGGUUGCCCGUCGUGUGCGGUCGUCGCGCAUCGAGGGCUCGAAAAAAUUGUCGGGCUCCGGCUCGGCUUUCAACGCGACCCCAGGUCAGGCGGGGUUACCCGCUGAAUUUAAGCAUAUCAAUAAGCGGAGGA